Molecule: long non-coding RNA, 1273 nt
Organism: Vicia villosa (hairy vetch)
Lineage: Eukaryota; Viridiplantae; Streptophyta; Magnoliopsida; Fabales; Fabaceae
Exons: 3
Source: RefSeq, a predicted model, not a curated record
UAGUUAAUGGUGUGGACCCAAUUUGAGUUAUUAGUUUCAAAGCAUUAUCAGAAUAUUAGUGCAUAGUCGUGUAUAGCCGUUUAAGGAAUACAGAAAGGUCGUUUACAAUUGAUAAUCCAAAUAACUUUCUAUUCCAAUACCAUUAUUGCAGAUUUUUGUUUUCUAUGCUUGGUAUCUUCCAUAAAAACUCUAACAAUGCCAAUGAAAAUCACAACUUCUCAUCUUCAAGCUUCAAGUUCGAACCUUAAUUGUAAGUUCAGAUGAAACAGCGGUGGCGGUGAGGGUUUUAGAUUCUGAAUCAAGCUUCUUGAUAUCUUUUUCUUCUUUCGCCUUUGUUUAUGCUUAUUUCUGAAUCACUUUUAAAAUAAUCACUUUCUAAUACAUGGAGAAGAUAUGAAAGAUGGAAGUUGUUUAUUAUGAACAUUUCGAGUUCAUUGGCGAUGCCAUUUUAUAACUCAUUAUCAGCCACCACCUUUUAUUUUGAUAAAUUGACAAUUUGAAUUUUGAUGUUUGUGAUUUUUUUCUUUGCAUUUUGAGAUUAAGAUGCUAAAAUUUAGAUCUGUUUUUUCUUUGAUGUCAUAGGAUAUUCUUGGAUUAGAUUGAUUGUUCAUCUACUCUUCCAAUGUUCUUAUUUUCUUUCUCUUUCGUUUUCUCCAAUUUUUCUCCCCUUAAUUUCUAUUUUUAUGUUUUCUCUUUCAAAAGCUUUUGUAUAUGCACACCAUCUAUUUAAUAAAAUAUUGUAAAGGAUUCUCACCAACAUUAUCAUACCUUAUGAGGUUUGUCUUAUGAGACAUUAGAUUGACAUGCAUACUCUGAGACCUUAGAAGUGUAAUGAAUUUUUUUGGCUAAAGCAAAAACAUCAAAAGCAUGCCAGGUGGAUAUCUACAAUAAGGACCUAUUCCAUUUGCUGAGACCUUGGUCAAUCUAUCCUUCAGAUAUAAUUGGUCGUGUCAUUAUCCUUCGAGUUGUUUGAAUCUUGAAGAUUGACUUCAUACGUCUCCUCAUGUCGAUAUAUAUGUUAUUGGGUUUUUAUGUUUCAAGAGAAGCUAGAAGAGAAAGAUUAAGAGAUCUAAAGACUCAAAAAUUAACUCCAACAAAAUAACGUAAUGGUCCAAGGAGGAUGGAAGAUCUAAUGAAACUUUAAAUAAGAGUGAGGGGGAUUUGAUGAUUGUCGAGAAGACUGCAAAUGAAUUGCAAAUGAAUUAACUAUGUUAAAUUUUGUUCUCUAAGAAACAUUUUUUUUUAUAAGUUUCUACAUGUGUAUUUUGAUUGA